Dermacentor silvarum is the source of this 2866-nucleotide long non-coding RNA. RefSeq lists it as uncharacterized. Lineage: Eukaryota; Metazoa; Arthropoda; Arachnida; Ixodida; Ixodidae. The transcript has 3 exons. The record is from RefSeq and is a predicted model, not a curated record.
GGGAGCUCGUGGUCAAACUCAUGGAGGUAACCGAUCUCAUUAUGGCACCAAAAAUAACUGCAGCUCAAGUUGCAUAUCUGAAAAUUUUGACCGAAGACUACAUAGUGUCUCGAAGUAUCCUGUUUCCCAGUGCCAAACUACGGCCAAAGCAUCACUACAUGCUACAUUACAGUGAACUUAUUCAGGAGUUUGGCCCACUCUGCCACGUGUGGACUAUGAGAUUUGAAGGCAAACAUCAAUAUUUUAAACAGUGCAUACGCAGUUCACGAAACUUCAAGAAUGUCACAAAGACAUUGAGCGAACGACACCAGCUUUAUCAAUCAUUCCUGGCUGCCCGAGGUUUAUUCCGCACUUCUCCAGUGUUCACAGACAUGAGCCAGGAUGAGCAAACAAGGAUUCAGAGUGAGGUUGUGCAUUGUCAGAUUCGUGAGCAUAGUGUCCUGCUAAAGAAAGCCACUGUGGAUGGUUGCAUGUAUGCAGUCGAUGACUAUGUUCUUGUGUCGGGAACAAGGUUUGAUCCUGUGUUUGGUUUAAUAAUUGCCAUUGUGAAAAACAUCUCUGCAGAAAUAUUUCUGUUAGUUAAGUGUGUUCGUUCAGCAUGCUUGCCAGGUCUCUCGUUGUAUGUGUUGCAAAGUUCAGCUUGCACAACAGAACUCCUAUGCCCUUUUGAGCUGCUAGACAGGACAGCUUACCAGCCCUACGCUUUCAAUGGUGCCACUGUUAUUAGACUGAACUUUUCAUUUCCUGAAACGCUGUGAGCACUAUCAGGCUGGUUUUGCAUGCUCAAUUGUGUAUCGAAAUUCUGUUGUUAUACCUCACUGUGAAGUUUGUUAUAAAAGUUGAAUGAAAAAGCAUGCCUUGCAAUAGCAAAAAAAAAGUUUGCCUUGUUGAUAGGGCUUCAUAUAGUAUUUUAGUCCUACAUUGUUUUACUGCAGACACUCGAUAUACAGCAAAGCCACUCAGUAUGGUACAUUAUACAGUAGAACCGUGUUACAGUGCAGUUGUUGAUACAGGGAAGACCUUCACUAUAUUGGUAUCUUCACUACAGCUUUAGUUCACCAUUUUGCUUUUCUGUGACUACGAUUAAGCUUUGCCAUGCACAGUGGGUUCUAAAGGAGUGCAAGUUUGCUACUUGUUGAAAUGUAGUGCCUAUAUUUACAGAAAAGUUCUUACUGUAGAAAGAAUGGUGAAUGCUAAUUCCAAGCAAUCCUGUUAAUGCACAAAUCGUUAUUCAAGGUGACCAGACAAUGGCAAAAAUCGCUUGCAAAAGGAAAGCUUUCUCGGCCCCAUAUUUGCAGGCUAUCAUUGCAUGUAUGGAUUCUGCCACCAUUUCUGUAAUAGGAAAGCAUAGUUACCACUCUGAUGGGACUUCAAAGUUCAAAGCAGCCAGUGUGUGCAUUCAGGCAUAAAUUGUAAAUUGAAAUGGUUCGCUGAAAUAACCAUGGUGAGUGCAAGUAUUGUUUACUCCCAUAAUUUUCUGAAAACUGUACUUUUGUUUAUGGCACAACUACCCACGGUUUCAUAUAUCAGUUUAUUCGUUAUGACCAUCUUAACUAUAUCAAUUAAAAAAAUUAAUGGACACCUGUCUGAGUGUAAUCACAAGCAGUUGUAGCAGCACCAGCAAUGCCACCACCUUCUCGCCUUGCAACGUUUCUAUAUAAAUUAGUUUGUAUAUGUGUGCUUACUCGUGCUUAAGCAACGCAGUAUUUCUCUUCAACACAGAUGUUCCCUAUAUGCGGCUUUGCUCUAUCAAGAUUCUGCUGUAUCAUACUAGAAAGACGGCUACUGUUGUCGAUGUUCCAAUAUUUGUAUCAGUUUAUAGUUGUACUGUCAGAGUAAAAUAUAAAUUGUAGCCUGCAAACUCUGAUAUAGUGCUGUCUUGAAGCAAAGCGUGCUUUGUGGUAUGCUUGUUAUUAUGUAAAAAACUCUUUUCAAUUGUUAUGUUAAGCCAAGUUGCAUUUCUUGUGUGAAUUGCCGUGUGAAACUUGCUUGCCCAAGUAGGCAAUAUUGAUAUCAACUGCUCUGUAUGUGAUGUUAGAUGUACUGGACAGUCUGUACUCUUUUCCAUGCCCCUGGGCUUGGAGCAUGUAGUUGCAUUGUUUGCUUUGCAACACAUUUGCAUUUGUCUGUUACCUGGUGUUUUGUGAUUUAUACUGUUAGAUGGAACUUACAAGUUCUGAAAGUUCCAGUUAUUUGGUGUGGCAGCUCGCAUAAGUGUCAUCACUGACCAGUGCAGUGAAUACUGUAGGUUCUUCGCUAUACAAAAGUGUUUCUUGAUGCUUCUCAACAAGCUUCUCGCCACUGCACUGCAGGAAACAGUCCACUAUGCCACUUAUUAAAAUUUGGAGUGGCGAUCAAGUGGUGAAAAAGGUGGCUCAUGCUACCACUUUAGCAGAGGUGCUUGUUCAGGCAAACGAAAAAGGAGUCUGCAGUUCUCCAAAUGCAAAGGUUUUCUUGAGAGACUGGACUCAGUUAGAUGAAGACAUCUUCAAGGACGUAUUGGAAGAACUUCCACUUGAAGAGAGAGUAUUCAUUGUGGCGGAAGUAAUUCCACCAAUUCCAGUUGACCAGGCUGUUCCAGGCAGCUCCGGGCUAGAUGAUCUAGUGGAAACCUUCCACAGUGCAAACACUCAAUUUAAGCUUGAAAUUGAUAGAUUGCCAGUAAGUGUGCAAACUGCCCUUGAAGCUAACGGACCUCUUCCUCCAAGAGAGAGGAGGGAAUUGGUGAGGUCCACUGUUGACCAGCUAACAAAAUUCUGUUCGAGGCCAAGGCGGGAACUCAUCAAGUCUGUAGCUUCAGCCAUAGUGCUGAAAUUUCCCAGCGCACUGCAAGACAAGGCAAUAGGUGGCCACCUCCUCGGUAGAG